UUAGCCGGUGGAGUGGGUUUCUCUUCCUUCUCUUUCUCCGCCGAGACCUCUGGUUCUGGCGGCGGUGGAACUUCAGAAAGAGCCUCACACGAUUCUUUUUUAUCCUCAGGUUUUGAUUCUUCUUCAUCUUUUUUCUCUUCAGGUUUUGGUUCUUUUUCUUCCUUCUUCUCUUCAGCUUUCGGUUCUUCAGGUUUCUUUUCUUCCUCCUUCGCCAAAGGCGGCGGAGGCGAAGCAGUGAAUUCAUGCUUUUUAAGUGCUUCUUGAACCAACAAUUUGAAUUCAUCCAACGCCUUCUUCUGGGGGUCAAUCAGAUCAUCGACCUUGUUGCUUUCCUCUUUAAAC
RNAcentral lists this long non-coding RNA (342 nucleotides) under Olea europaea (common olive). Its description in RNAcentral is "long non-coding RNA (OEUR_LNC003804)". Lineage: Eukaryota; Viridiplantae; Streptophyta; Magnoliopsida; Lamiales; Oleaceae. The record is from RNAcentral.